CUAUUUUGGCAGAUAAAUGUGUUAAAUUUAGGAUUUAUUUAUGUAAUUAAUUACAA
This 56-nucleotide transfer RNA is filed under the name Calophya californica. Its description in RNAcentral is "tRNA-Leu". The record is from RNAcentral. Lineage: Eukaryota; Metazoa; Arthropoda; Insecta; Hemiptera; Calophyidae.